This 533-nucleotide ribosomal RNA is filed under the name Poicephalus rueppellii (Rueppell's parrot). RNAcentral's name for it is "partial 16S ribosomal RNA". It matches the Rfam family "Bacterial large subunit ribosomal RNA", at positions 1911 to 2609 of the family's 2925-position model. The record is from RNAcentral. Lineage: Eukaryota; Metazoa; Chordata; Aves; Psittaciformes; Psittacidae.
AGUGACACCACGUUCAACGGCCGCGGUAUCCUAACCGUGCAAAGGUAGCGCAAUCAAUUGUCCCAUAAAUAGAGACCUGUAUGAAUGGCUAAACGAGGCCCCAACUGUCUCCUGCAGAUAAUCAGUGAAACUGAUCCCCCUGUACAAAAGCAGGGAUAACCACAUAAGACAAGAAGACCCUGUGGAACUUCAAAAUCAGUAGCCACUAACAACCUCCCCAAACCUACCAGGCUUACCACCCAAAACAGCUGGCUAACAUUUUUAGGUUGGGGCGACCCUGGAGAAAAACAAACCCUCCAAAAAUAAGGCCAAACCCCUUAACUAAGAGCAACCCCUCAACGUGCCAACAGUACCCAGACCCAAUAAAAUUGACCAAUGAACCAAGCUACCCCAGGGAUAACAGCGCAAUCUCCCUCAAGAGCCCCUAUCGACAGGGAGGUUUACGACCUCGAUGUUGGAUCAGGACAUCCUAGUGGUGCAGCCGCUACUAAGGGUUCGUUUGUUCAACGAUUAAAAGUCCUACGUGAUCUGAG